This 330-nucleotide unclassified non-coding RNA is filed under the name Bombus terrestris (buff-tailed bumblebee). RNAcentral describes it as "misc RNA ENSBTSG00005024092.1". Lineage: Eukaryota; Metazoa; Arthropoda; Insecta; Hymenoptera; Apidae. The record is from RNAcentral.
ACCAACGUCUUUGUGAGAUUUUUCUGAUUAAAGUAACACCAAACACGAUAUACCUUAAAUCACAUUUACCUAUAUAUUUAAUGAAGAAAAUAAGUCAGCGUCAUUAACCAGUUAGCUGUUGCGACCUCGUUGAAAAGCGUGUACCUAAAAUGUAUUACUAAAAGAAAGACGAGUAUACUCGUCAAACACAGAGUAUGCGUGACUGUUAUAAUAUACAAUUAAGUUGUGAUGAAACGAUUGUUUUAUCUUUUAAUUCUAUUACUGACAAGGCUCGUCAUAACACAAAAUAUUGCAAUUUCUUCGUGACGAGUAUACUCGUCAUAAAACAGC